CUGAUUGUGUUUAAUGGCACAGACUCCAUCAGCGGAUCGACACAAACUCCAGAAUCACAUCAGUUGUGGUGGAUUUCUGCCCUGAUCUUCAUUGUUCUUCUGGUUUUGAUCUGUUUCUUGCUGCAUAAAAGGAUCUUCAGUUGUAUUUCGAGAGCAGUUACAAGCAUAUUUCAGCGCAAUGAUUCAGAAAACAGGUGAGUGAAUCUAAGCAAGAGAAAGACUUAAACCCAGUUUGACUGAAUCACAUCAACACCGAAGUUUCAUUUGAGACUCGAUGAAUCUUCAUCUGCUGAAUCUGAAUCUGUUUCUCACAGGGAUCCUGAAUCUGGUGUCCAAAUGAUGAUCAGAUCAGAUUAAUCUGAAUCACCGAAUCAAUUUGAAUCUGAACAGAUCAACGGCUCCAUGUCCAGAGAACGAUCAGAAACAUCCUGUCAUUUUUCUUAUUCACUCAAACUGAAUGGGCUGAAUGUAAUUUAUUAAUGUUUUCUGUCUGACGGAAGUGGCGAUAUUUCAUUUGCUGUAAUUGCUGGUUCUGUGUCAUAUACUAUGUAGCUGAAAUAAUAAGGCUAAAUUGGGUGAACAGAAACAUGCAAUGAUUUGAACUCAGAUCAGUUAGGAUGAUAGAUUGUUUUAAUGAUGAACUCCAAUUAAAUGUUUCCUGUGAAAAUAAAAAAAGAAUGAACUGUCUGACCACA
Molecule: long non-coding RNA, 695 nt
Filed under: Sinocyclocheilus anshuiensis
Lineage: Eukaryota; Metazoa; Chordata; Actinopteri; Cypriniformes; Cyprinidae
Description: lncRNA (ENSSANG00000050003.1)
Source: RNAcentral